AAAGCAGUCAGCUCUUCAUUUUGCAGAGCUGUCUGGCCAGAUAUAGUAAUUGUGAGUGUACUCAUAAAGCUUUCCUAUAAAAUGCAUUAAAAUUGUCUUAGUUUAUGUACUCUCACUCCCAGUUCUGCUACAAUGAAACAAAUCUAUUACUUUCUACGAGGCAAUAAGUGCAUGAAAGCAAACUGAAAAUCCCCCGAAACUUGGCGUAUUUUCAGAGGGAUUACUUGGAUGUCAC
Molecule: long non-coding RNA, 235 nt
Filed under: Coturnix japonica (Japanese quail)
Lineage: Eukaryota; Metazoa; Chordata; Aves; Galliformes; Phasianidae
Description: lncRNA (ENSCJPG00005006930.1)
Source: RNAcentral